This 466-nucleotide ribosomal RNA is filed under the name uncultured bacterium. RNAcentral's name for it is "partial 16S ribosomal RNA". It matches the Rfam family "Bacterial small subunit ribosomal RNA", at positions 29 to 506 of the family's 1533-position model. The record is from RNAcentral.
ACGAACGCUGGCGGCGUGCUUAACACAUGCAAGUCGAACGGAAAGGCCCUGCUUUUGUGGGGUGCUCGAGUGGCGAACGGGUGAGUAACACGUGAGUAACCUGCCCUUGACUUUGGGAUAACUUCAGGAAACUGGGGCUAAUACCGGAUAGGAGCUCCUGCUGCAUGGUGGGGGUUGGAAAGUUUCGGCGGUUGGGGAUGGACUCGCGGCUUAUCAGCUUGUUGGUGGGGUAGUGGCUUACCAAGGCUUUGACGGGUAGCCGGCCUGAGAGGGUGACCGGCCACAUUGGGACUGAGAUACGGCCCAGACUCCUACGGGAGGCAGCAGUGGGGAAUAUUGCACAAUGGGCGGAAGCCUGAUGCAGCAACGCCGCGUGCGGGAUGACGGCCUUCGGGUGGUAAACCGCUUUCGCCUGUGACGAAGCGUGAGUGACGGUAAUGGGUAAAGAAGCACCGGCUAACUACGG